GCCUAUCCGCGGGUGGAUGCCUACUGAGAGCGGCCUAUCCGCGGGUGGACUAAUUUCAGAGGCCUAUCCGCGGGUGGAGGCCUACUGAGGGCGGCCUAUCCGUUGGUGUAUUAGUUUCGGAGGCCUAUCUAUCCGCAGAUGCUACGUUACUCAUCCCACUUUCUCUUCCACUGACUGUAGUUUGAGAUUUUUUUUUCUUUGUUUUCUUGUUUUCUUUGAUUGUGUCAACCUAUUCACACUUUUCUUUCUCUCUCUCUCUCUCUCUCUCUCUCUCUCUCUCUCUCUCUC
This is a long non-coding RNA of Portunus trituberculatus (swimming crab), 288 nucleotides long. RefSeq lists it as uncharacterized. The record is from RefSeq and is a predicted model, not a curated record. NCBI's taxonomy places the organism in Eukaryota, Metazoa, Arthropoda, Malacostraca, Decapoda, Portunidae. The transcript has 2 exons.